CUCAUUCUUCUUUCUUGUUUUGGU
This 24-nucleotide non-coding RNA is filed under the name Arabidopsis thaliana (thale cress). The record is from RNAcentral. Lineage: Eukaryota; Viridiplantae; Streptophyta; Magnoliopsida; Brassicales; Brassicaceae.